ACCGCCGUGGUGAAAUUGGCAGACGCGCCGGACUUAGGAUCCGGUGCCGCAAGGCGUAGCGGUUCGAGUCCGCUCGGCGGUACCA
RNAcentral lists this transfer RNA (85 nucleotides) under Candidatus Gallimonas intestinigallinarum. RNAcentral describes it as "tRNA-Leu". It matches the Rfam family "tRNA". Rfam says of the family: Transfer RNA (tRNA) molecules are approximately 80 nucleotides in length. Their secondary structure includes four short double-helical elements and three loops (D, anti-codon, and T loops). The record is from RNAcentral. Lineage: Bacteria; Bacillati; Bacillota; Clostridia.